Molecule: long non-coding RNA, 493 nt
Organism: Ahaetulla prasina
Lineage: Eukaryota; Metazoa; Chordata; Lepidosauria; Squamata; Colubridae
Exons: 3
Source: RefSeq, a predicted model, not a curated record
CAGAGUUUCACUAGGAAGGUAAAGGUAAAAGUUCCCCUCGCACAUAUGUGCUAGUCGUUCCCGACUGUAGGGAGCAGUGCUCAACUCUGUUUCAAAUCUGAAGAGCCAGUGCUAUCCAAAGAUGUCUCCGUGGUCAUGUGGCUGGCAUGACUAAAUGCCAAAGGUGCAAGGAAUGCUGUUACCUUUCCAUCAAAGAUAACAGAAUAACAGAGUUGGAAGGGACCUUAUAGGUCAUCUGCUCAAGUAGGAGACCCUACACCAUUUCUGGCAAAUGGAAGUCCAACCUUUUCUUGAAAGUCUCAAGUAAUGAAGAAACUCCCACAACUCCCGAAGACAAGCUGUUCCUUUGGUUGAUUGUUCUCAUUGUUUUAAUUUUUAUUUAAAUCAAAUACCAAGUUUUGCCAAGGUUGAUCAUUUUAAAAUGGAGAGAAAAUUGGCUGAGGGAGGGAGGGAGAGAGGAAAGAAGUUAAAAAUUUAGGCCAUCCUCCUGCAA